RNAcentral lists this ribosomal RNA (301 nucleotides) under uncultured bacterium. Its description in RNAcentral is "partial 16S ribosomal RNA". It matches the Rfam family "Bacterial small subunit ribosomal RNA", at positions 509 to 807 of the family's 1533-position model. The record is from RNAcentral.
CAGUCGCCACGGGAACACGAAGGGUGCAAGCGUUAAUCGGAAUUACUGGGCGUAAAGCGUGCGUAGGCGGUGAGUUAAGUCUGCUGUGAAAUCCCCGGGCUCAACCUGGGAAUGGCAGUGGAUACUGGCUCGCUAGAGUGUGUCAGAGGAUGGUGGAAUUCCCGGUGUAGCGGUGAAAUGCGUAGAGAUCGGGAGGAACAUCAGUGGCGAAGGCGGCCAUCUGGGACAACACCGACGCUGAGGCACGAAAGCGUGGGGAGCAAACAGGAUUAGAUACCCGCGUAGUCCCUGUCUCUUAUAC